CCCGGGCCUUGUACACACCGCCCGUCACACCACGAGAGUUUGUAACACCCGAAGUCGGUGGAGUAACCGUAAGGAGCUAGCCGCCUAAGGUGGGACAGAUGAUUGGGGUGAAGUCGUAAACAAGGUACC
Molecule: ribosomal RNA, 129 nt
Filed under: uncultured bacterium
Lineage: Bacteria
Description: partial 16S ribosomal RNA
Rfam family: Bacterial small subunit ribosomal RNA
Source: RNAcentral